GAGGAUAUAGCUUAGUGGUAGAGCGCGCGCUUAGCAUGCAUGAAGUCCUGGGUUCAAUCCCCAGUACCUCCA
This 72-nucleotide transfer RNA is filed under the name Camelus bactrianus (Bactrian camel). It matches the Rfam family "tRNA". Rfam says of the family: Transfer RNA (tRNA) molecules are approximately 80 nucleotides in length. Their secondary structure includes four short double-helical elements and three loops (D, anti-codon, and T loops). The record is from Rfam by way of RNAcentral. Lineage: Eukaryota; Metazoa; Chordata; Mammalia; Artiodactyla; Camelidae. RNAcentral also lists the same sequence under 2 other names.